GGAAGGAUCAUUAGCGUUGAUUGGUCUUGGUGCCAUGCGAAAAACAUGUGGAUUGUGGGCUAUGUGACCCCUCUGUGGGGGGUAUUUUGUCGCGAACUUGGAUCAUUGGCUGAUGGAUAUAUAUAUACAUAAACAAAAUACAACUUUUAGCAAUGGAUAUCUUGGUUCCCGCAACGAUGAAGAACGCAGCGAAAUGCGAUACGUAAUGCGAAUUGCAGAAUUCAGUGAAUCAUCGAAUCUUUGAACGCAAGUUGCGCUUUCGAGAGCCCUCGGAAGCAUGCCUCUCUGAGUAUCGGUUUCUAUCUAUCUCACACGCGGUGGGGAGAAUGGGAGUUGCGGCUCGUCCGCAUCUCCUCAAGUCAGCACACACUGUCGGCCGAAGUCCAUCGGGUUCUUGGAACGAUAAUCCGUCAUGGCGCCAGAAAACCAUACACACACAAGAUCUCAGAUGAGGUAAGACUACCCGCCGAAUUUAAGCAUAUUAUUAAGCGGAGGAAAAGAAACUAACUAGGAUUCCCUCAGUAACGGCGAGUGAAGCGGGAAGAGCUCAAACCGAAAAUCUCUGUCCGCUUGCCGGGCAGCGAAUUGUGGUCUAUGGAGGCGUGUUCAGCGUGCGGCCCCGGCCGAAGUCCGUUGGAAGACGGCGCCAGGGAGGGUGAUAGCCCCGUUCUUGGCUGGAUGUCCGCCGCGUACGAACCGCUCUCUAAGAGUCGGCUUGCUUGGGAGUGCAGGCCUAAGUGGGUGGUAAAUUUCAUCCAAAGCUAAAUACAUGCGGGAGACCGAUAGCGAACAAGUACCGUGAGGGAAAGAUGAAAAGAACUUUGAAAAGAGAGUCAAAAGUACUUGAAAUUGCUGGGAUCGAAGGGAUGGCAUCUAGUAUUGGCCUGGAGAUUUUAGGGCAAGCGUCUCGGUUCGAUCGGGUCGCAAUUGGCUUUGCUGUCUUUGCGGCGCGGUCAGUGGUCGGGACGCGAACCCGUCCUGUCUCCGGGCCUAGGUCAGGAUGGAUUUGCGGUGGUCGAGAAUGGCCUCGGGAAGGUGCCUGUCUCCUCACGGGGGCAGAACUUACAGACCGGGGCAGAUGGAUUGCCGGAGAUUGAGGUGCGAAAACCCACAUCCCCAUCGGGGGGGUUGGGGGCCCCGUGCAAUGGUCCGCCGAUGCCGGCGAGUUGCAAUGCCUCGCGUCGGUGUUCGGCUGCCAGCGUGCGGUCGGCUUACUUGUGUGGUUUGGGAUCCUGACGAAAUGGUUGUCAUUCACCCGUCUUGAAACACGGACCAAGGAGUCUUACAUAUAUGCGAGUGAUCGGGUGGGAAACUCGUUCGCGGAAUGAAGGUGAAUUUGGGGAUCGAAGGCGGGCGCAAGCCCGUCUGCAGAUCCGGGCGGCUAAGAUAUCGGUACGACCCAGAGCAUAUCUGUAGGGACCCGAAAGAUGGUGAACUAUGCUUGAGCAGGAUGAAGCCAGGGGAAACUCUGGUGGAAGUCCGAAGCGAUACUGACGUGCAAAUCGUUCGUCUGACUUGAGUAUAGGGGCGAAAGACUAAUCGAACCAUCUAGUAGCUGGUUCCCUC
Molecule: unclassified non-coding RNA, 1566 nt
Filed under: uncultured fungus
Lineage: Eukaryota; Fungi
Description: sequence contains 18S rRNA gene, ITS1, 5.8S rRNA gene, ITS2, 28S rRNA gene
Rfam family: Eukaryotic large subunit ribosomal RNA (bases 440-1566)
Source: RNAcentral